UACGGGGGGGGUAAGCGUUGUUCGGAAUUACUGGGCGUAAAGGGCUCGCAGGCGGCCAACUAAGUCAUACGUGAAAUCCCUCAGCUUAACUGGGGAACUGCGUGUGAUACUGGAUGGCUUGGAUUUGGGAGAGGGAUGCGGAAUUCCAGGUGUAGCGGUGAAAUGCGUAGAUAUCUGGAGGAACAUCUGUGGCGAAGGCGACACCCUGGACCAGCACUGACACUGAGGCACGAAAGCGUGGGGAGCAAACAGG
RNAcentral lists this ribosomal RNA (253 nucleotides) under uncultured bacterium. Its description in RNAcentral is "partial 16S ribosomal RNA". It matches the Rfam family "Bacterial small subunit ribosomal RNA", at positions 524 to 776 of the family's 1533-position model. The record is from RNAcentral.